GCAGUCGAACGGAUCCUUCGGGAUUAGUGGCGGACGGGUGAGUAACACGUGGGAACGUGCCCUUUGGUUCGGAACAACUCAGGGAAACUUGAGCUAAUACCGGAUGUGCCCUUCGGGGGAAAGAUUUAUCGCCAUUGGAGCGGCCCGCGUAGGAUUAGCUAGUUGGUGGGGUAAAGGCCCACCAAGGCGACGAUCCUUAGCUGGUCUGAGAGGAUGAUCAGCCACAUUGGGACUGAGACACGGCCCAAACUCCUACGGGAGGCAGCAGUGGGGAAUCUUGCGCAAUGGGCGAAAGCCUGACGCAGCCAUGCCGCGUGAAUGAUGAAGGUCUUAGGAUUGUAAAAUUCUUUCACCGGGGACGAUAAUGACGGUACCCGGAGAAGAAGCCCCGGCUAACUUCGUGCCAGCAGCCGCGGUAAUACGAAGGGGGCUAGCGUUGCUCGGAAUUACUGGGCGUAAAGGGAGCGUAGGCGGACUGUUUAGUCAGAGGUGAAAGCCCAGGGCUCAACCUUGGAAUUGCCUUUGAUACUGGCAGUCUUGAGUACGGAAGAGGUAUGUGGAACUCCGAGUGUAGAGGUGAAAUUCGUAGAUAUUCGGAAGAACACCA
RNAcentral lists this ribosomal RNA (607 nucleotides) under Caulobacter sp. RNAcentral's name for it is "bacterial SSU rRNA". It matches the Rfam family "Bacterial small subunit ribosomal RNA", at positions 57 to 711 of the family's 1533-position model. Lineage: Bacteria; Pseudomonadati; Pseudomonadota; Alphaproteobacteria; Caulobacterales; Caulobacteraceae. The record is from RNAcentral.